CCGGGUUAAGUCCCAUAACGAGCGCAACCCUACCUUUAGUUGCCAUCAGGUAAUGCUGGGGACUCUAAAGGAACUGCCUACGCAAGUAGUGAGGAAGCGGGGAUGACGUCAAAUCAGCACGGCCCUUACGUCCAGGGCUACACACGUGCUACAAUGGCCGAUACAGAGGGCAGCUACCUGGUGACAGGAUGCAAAUCUCCAAAGUCGGUCUCAGUUCGGAUCGGAGUCUGCAACCCGACUCCGUGAAGUUGGAUUCGCUAGUAAUCGCGCAUCAGCCAUGGCGCGGUGAAUACGUUCCCGGGCCUU
This 306-nucleotide ribosomal RNA is filed under the name uncultured Sphingobacteriales bacterium. Its description in RNAcentral is "bacterial SSU rRNA". It matches the Rfam family "Bacterial small subunit ribosomal RNA", at positions 1074 to 1382 of the family's 1533-position model. Lineage: Bacteria; Pseudomonadati; Bacteroidota; Sphingobacteriia; Sphingobacteriales. The record is from RNAcentral.